Molecule: long non-coding RNA, 329 nt
Filed under: Homo sapiens (human)
Lineage: Eukaryota; Metazoa; Chordata; Mammalia; Primates; Hominidae
Description: non-protein coding lnc-GGCT-1:49
Source: RNAcentral
GUGCACUUCCAUCCUACAGGGACCAGAUCUGAACAGUCUGGAGAGAGGAGCUGUGGUGGCAGCAGACAGAUCUCUGCUUCAGGGGCCAGGUGUCUAGAAGAAAUGCUGAGGCAGUGUCACGCUGGUGUCUGUCCUCCUUACAGAAUGCCUGAACAGUUCCAUUGACUCAAAGUGAAGAUCAAAAGAACCAAAUGACAGCAAUAGCCAAGUGUAAUCAUCAGUAACCCUGUGUUCUAUCCACAGUUAAAAGAAUAUUGGCAGAGAAACAGCCUUGGUGUUCCAGCAGGAGUGAAGAGGAACAGGAAAACGAGUGGCAGUAGCCCUGAAAC